UUUUAUGGAGAGUUUGAUCCUGGCUCAGGAUGAACGCUGGCGGCGUGCCUAAUACAUGCAAGUCGAGCGAACAGACGAGGAGCUUGCUCCUCUGACGUUAGCGGCGGACGGGUGAGUAACACGUGGAUAACCUACCUAUAAGACUGGGAUAACUUCGGGAAACCGGAGCUAAUACCGGAUAACAUGUUGA
RNAcentral lists this ribosomal RNA (190 nucleotides) under Staphylococcus capitis. RNAcentral describes it as "partial 16S ribosomal RNA". It matches the Rfam family "Bacterial small subunit ribosomal RNA", at positions 1 to 184 of the family's 1533-position model. Lineage: Bacteria; Bacillati; Bacillota; Bacilli; Caryophanales; Staphylococcaceae. The record is from RNAcentral.